CUNNNGACCCNGCGCACGGGUGCGUAACGCGUAUGCAAUCUACCUUUUACUAUGGGAUAGCCCAGAGAAAUUUGGAUUAAUACCAUAUAGUAUAUUUGAAUGGCAUCGUUUGAAUAUUAAAGAUUUAUCGGUAAAAGAUGAGCAUGCGUCCCAUUAGUUAGUUGGUGUGGCAACGGCAUACCAAGACGAUGAUGGGUAGGGGUCCUGAGAGGGAGAUCCCCCACACUGGUACUGAGACACGGACCAGAUUCCUACGGGAGGCAGCAGUGAGGAAUAUUGGUCAAUGGAGGCAACUCUGAACCAGCCAUGCCGCGUGCAGGAUGACGGUCCUAUGGAUUGUAAACUGCUUUUGUACGGGNAAGAAAACAACUACGAGUAGUUAAUUGACGGUACCGUAAGAAUAAGGAUCGGCUAACUCCGUGUCAGCAGCCGCGGUAAUACGGGAGGAUCCAAGCGUUAUCCGGAAUCAUUGGGUUUAAAGGGUCCGUAGGCGGCCUUAUAAGUCAGUGGGUGAAAGUUUUUGGCUUANCCAAAAAUUNGCCAUUGGAUNCUGUAGGGCUUGAAUUUCUGNGAAGUANCUAGAAUAUGUUAGUGUAGCGGGGAAAUGGCUUUANAUUUUUCNUGGAAUUACCGAUUGCGAAGGCCGGUUACUAACANAUGNUUGACCCUGAUGGACCAAAGCGUGGGUAGCGAACAGGAUUAAANACCCUGGUAGNCCCCCCCUNAACGANUGNAACCUNGCUGUUUGGUUUUC
This 754-nucleotide ribosomal RNA is filed under the name uncultured Flavobacterium sp. RNAcentral describes it as "partial 16S ribosomal RNA". It matches the Rfam family "Bacterial small subunit ribosomal RNA", at positions 87 to 832 of the family's 1533-position model. Lineage: Bacteria; Pseudomonadati; Bacteroidota; Flavobacteriia; Flavobacteriales; Flavobacteriaceae. The record is from RNAcentral.